UGGAUCCAGACUUUGAUUCUGGCUCAGGACGAACGCUGGCGGCGUGCUUAACACAUGCAAGUCGAACGAGAGGAGAAGGAAGCUUGCUUCUUUCAAAUCUAGUGGCAAACGGGUGAGUAACACGUAAACAACCUGCCUUCAGGAUGGGGACAACAGACGGAAACGACUGCUAAUACCGAAUACGUUCCUUAGGUCGCAUGACCAAGGAAGAAAGGGUGGCCUCUACUUGUAAGCUAUCGCCUGAAGAGGGGUUUGCGUCUGAUUAGGUAGUUGGUGAGGUAACGGCCCACCAAGCCGACGAUCAGUAGCCGGUCUGAGAGGAUGAACGGCCACACUGGAACUGAGACACGGUCCAGACUCCUACGGGAGGCAGCAGUGGGGAAUCUUCCGCAAUGGGCGAAAGCCUGACGGAGCAACGCCGCGUGAGUGAUGACGGCCUUCGGGUUGUAAAGCUCUGUGAUCGGGGACGAACGGUCAGCAGACGAAUACUCUGCUGAAGUGACGGUACCCGAAUAGCAAGCCACGGCUAACUACGUGCCAGCAGCCGCGGUAAUACGUAGGUGGCAAGCGUUGUCCGGAAUUAUUGGGCGUAAAGCGCGCGCAGGCGGCUUCUUAAGUCCAUCUUAAAAGUGCGGGGCUUAACCCCGUGAUGGGAUGGAAACUGAGAGGCUGGAGUAUCGGAGAGGAAAGUGGAAUUCCUAGUGUAGCGGUGAAAUGCAUAGAGAUUAGGAAGAACACCGGUGGCGAAGGCGACUUUCUGGACGACAACUGACGCUGAGGCGCGAAAGCGUGGGGAGCAAACAGGAUUAGAUACCCUGGUAGUCCACGCCGUGAACGAUGAAUACUAGGUGUAGGAGGUAUCGACCCCUUCUGUGCCGGAGCUAACACAAUAAGUAUUCCGCCUGGGAAGUACGAUCGCAAGAUUACAACUCAAAUGAAUUGACGGA
This 947-nucleotide ribosomal RNA is filed under the name uncultured Bacillota bacterium. RNAcentral describes it as "bacterial SSU rRNA". It matches the Rfam family "Bacterial small subunit ribosomal RNA", at positions 1 to 917 of the family's 1533-position model. Lineage: Bacteria; Bacillati; Bacillota. The record is from RNAcentral.